RNAcentral lists this ribosomal RNA (491 nucleotides) under uncultured bacterium. RNAcentral describes it as "bacterial SSU rRNA". It matches the Rfam family "Bacterial small subunit ribosomal RNA", at positions 28 to 516 of the family's 1533-position model. The record is from RNAcentral.
GAUGAACGCUGGCGGCGUGCUUAACACAUGCAAGUCGAACGGAGCACCCCUGACGGAGUUUUCGGACAACGAAAGGGAAUGCUUAGUGGCGGACGGGUGAGUAACGCGUGAGUAACCUGCCUUGGAGUGGGGAAUAACAGCCGGAAACGGCUGCUAAUACCGCAUGAUGUAUCUGGAUCGCAUGGUUCUGGAUACCAAAGAUUUAUCGCUCUGAGAUGGACUCGCGUCUGAUUAGCUAGUUGGUGAGGUAACGGCUCACCAAGGCGACGAUCAGUAGCCGGACUGAGAGGUUGCGGCACAUUGGGACUGAGACACGGCCCAGACUCCUACGGGAGGCAGCAGUGGGGAAUAUGGGCAAAUGGGCGAAAGCCUGACCCAGCAACGCCGCGUGAAGGAAGAAAGGCCCUCGGGUUGUAAACUUCUUUUGUCAGGGACGAAGCAAGUGACGGUACCUGACGAAUAAGCCACGGCUAAACUACGUGCCAGCAGCC